Long non-coding RNA from Amphiprion ocellaris (clown anemonefish), 2219 nucleotides. RefSeq lists it as uncharacterized. The transcript is spliced from 3 exons. The record is from RefSeq and is a predicted model, not a curated record. NCBI's taxonomy places the organism in Eukaryota, Metazoa, Chordata, Actinopteri, Pomacentridae.
GUCAUCAGCAAGUGUGGAGCCAAACAGAGUACGGUGCAUAGACUGUAUAUACAUUUUUUUUUCGUUAGUUUUCAUGGUCAAAAUGAGAGAUCAGGUGGCCGAUCUUAAAAUAAAUCAAUAUUGAUUUUUUUUUUUAUAGAGCGUUAAAGUUUUGCGAAGCCAGGAGGCGGGACUACUUGAUUGACAGUCCGGUCUGGAAUGAUUGACAGGUUCUAUGGAGGAGGCAGCAGAGACUCUGUUCUCCUCGUUUGGAUUAAUUCUGAUAUAAUAACUGUUGGUUUAUUUAUCGGUGGAGCAGCAGAACAUUUUCCACAGACAGUUUUCCUGCCCGUUGGCUUGUUUUAACCAGUUUUCUACCUUCGGCUGAUUCUACCAGCAGACACUGAAAGGACUCUGAUAGUUCGAGUGAAAGCAGCAGUUCCUCCUUAAGGUCAGAGAUUGCAGCAUCUGAGGGCCUCUUCAAAAGAAGACGUAGUUGAUGAAGGCGUUCUGGAGCAGGACCAGAAAGACCACGACCAAGCAGCCUUUAGAUCUUAGGCAGCGUCUCCCUCAGGUCCCUCUCUAUCUCCCCACACAUCCACCAACCACUGGAACACAUCUCCAAAGUUCUGCCAGGCCAGCUCAGCUUCCCCUCAGAAGAAGUGCUGCCACCUGCCAGAUGAAGGAGCCUUUUGAGAGGCAGCAGACAUCGUGAUUGGACUGCACUUUGGUCUGUUCCAAUCCAGCUUCAGCUCCAGAGACGGCAGGCGGGACGAGUCAACGGAGGCCUGGUGGACGAAGGCAUGCAGCUGAGUACAAUACAGAAAACAACAGAGGAGGAGUGCAGUGGCUCAGGGCCAGAACAAACACAGUAGCAUCGUAUGUCUCUUAGAAAACAUCAUAGUAUAGCCUUUGGUAUGAAAAAACGCCAUCAUAUACAUCAUAUAUUGUACAAAUAACAAGUCAAAGGAAAAAGACAUACAUUGUAGAGUUGUAGUAAUUGUGGGCCGAAUGAUUUACUGAUUAUCAGUAUUUUAUUUUUUACUGAUUUACGGUAAUAAAUACAUUUAAAAAUGGUGCUACUUUGGCUCUGAACCUUAAUCUACCUGUGGUCGCUCUGUCUUCUGGAGUGAUUUGAUUGGUUAUACGUCACGAAUAAAACUCCUUUAACUUAACAUCUCUAAACAAAACAAAAACGUAUCAACAAAGUUUUCUGUUAAAGUUUGUGUUCUUGUAAGUUUAACUCCAAGAUUUUAAAUACUUUCAUUUACUGCAAAUGAAUAUCUACUCCAAAUGUCUCACUAAUAAUCAUUAUCAGCCUUAAAAACCCACAAAACACCCCUCUAUACUCGACCACACUUAGUACAGUCCGGUUCCCCCUUCUAUAAAUCUGCUUGGAAUCUUCCACUUCCUGUUUGUCAAAGUGGCCUUCUACCUGGACAGGUUUUGUUGGAGCUCAUGCUACAAACAUUUUGGGUAACUGCACUUUAAUAUGGCUGGAUGACACUGAAUUAGAUUCUGUUUUCAUGAGACUGAGUUAAGAUGUGUAGCUCUGUCAUUAAAUAGUAAAUUAUUCCUCAGAAUUCACAGAGAAAAGUCUGAAAUGUUUGCUAGGUUAGCAUCCCACAUGUUCUUUGGCUCAGCUAAAGCUAACUCUCUCCAACUUCUGGAUCUCUUGAGUUGCUUGUUGUUAAAAUAUCUUGCUAGAGGUGCUGAAGCUCAGAAAGUCUGAGAUGUUUGUUCAAAAUAAGCUCAUUCUCAAGUCUGAUCUGAACUGUCCUCUUUUGUUUGAACUUUCCCUAAAUUUAGGAGUUAAUGACAGAGCAGCACAUCCAGACUCAGUCUCAUUUAUGUAGAGAUUAAACUUCAGUGUCAUUCAUUGAUGUUAAAGUGCAGUUUUUCAAAUGUUUGUUGCACAUGCUCCCAGCCAAACCAGUCCAGGUGGAAGAUGAUGUGAAGAGAAAGCUCCAGAGGAUGAAUAUCACACAUUUACAUUGGAAAUAAAUGUCCUUUAAUUAGACAUUGUCAUGCAAAUGAUGUUAAAAUCUUUGAGUGUUUUGUUGAUGUUUGUUUCUAAAUGUUUUUUGACACUCGGCCCCAAAGAUUAAAACCUUCUACGGCUCACAAGCUGCAACAAUUCACACAUUAUCAACUAUCUUUCUGACUAAACUAAGAUGAAAAGUGAAAAACUGCCUGAUUCCUGCAUCAUGAAUGUAAAUCUUUUUGGGUUUUAUGACAGU